Long non-coding RNA from Raphanus sativus (radish), 615 nucleotides. RefSeq lists it as uncharacterized. Lineage: Eukaryota; Viridiplantae; Streptophyta; Magnoliopsida; Brassicales; Brassicaceae. The record is from RefSeq and is a predicted model, not a curated record. The transcript has 2 exons.
CGUGAUACUAGAGAUGACGACAAGGAGCAGGCGCUCUGGGAAAGAGCAAGUUGUUGAGAAAUAGAGAAUCAACUAUGCUUUUUCCUCUUUCUCCCAUUUUCCUUUGAGGUUAGCUUAUCUUCUCCUAUGGAUCUCUAUAUAUAUUUUAGUAUUGGAUCUCUUUGUGUAUACUAGAUGUUUCACAGGAUGGUUUCAUUGAGAUUCAUCCCCUCUGUAAAAGUAUAUUUUGCCUCUUUGCUUUCUCCUAUUUAGUAGUUCAUUUGAAUCAUAAGUGUUUAACAUAGACUAUGAUGUGUAGCUAAAUAUAUUGUUACUGAAGUUAUUACUUUUGUUGUUGUGUCUCCCUGUUUACAUCGUUUGUUGUUGUGUCUCCCUAUAUCGAGCAAUCUCAAGGAGAUGUAGGUGCUUUACUUGGCUGCGUCGACGUUUGAGAAUGCAGCGAGGAUGGCUAACGGAACAAAGGGGACAUAUGACCAAUGUGUACAACAAAACUAGAAUCCAUGUGUACAUUUCUUUCAUGUUCAUCCUUUUGAUAAGACAACUUGUGCAUCUAUUAGUAUCCAUAUGUACACCUAUUUCAUAUACAUCCUUUUGAUGAGACUUAUUGUACAUCCA